RNAcentral lists this ribosomal RNA (1477 nucleotides) under uncultured Bordetella sp. RNAcentral's name for it is "partial 16S-23S ribosomal RNA intergenic spacer". It matches the Rfam family "Bacterial small subunit ribosomal RNA". The record is from RNAcentral. Lineage: Bacteria; Pseudomonadati; Pseudomonadota; Betaproteobacteria; Burkholderiales; Alcaligenaceae.
GGUUCGAUUAUGGCUCCAGAUUGAACGCUGGCAGGAUGCUUUACACAUGCAAGUCGAACGGCAGCACGGACUUCGGUCUGGUGGCGAGUGGCGAACAGGUGGUAAUGUAUCGGAACGUGCUAGUAGCGAGGGGAUAACUACGCAGAAAGCGUAGCUAAUGCCACAUGCACCCUUCCCGGAAAGCAGGGGGACCUUCGGGCCUCGCACUAUUAGAAGCGGCCGAUAUCGGAUUAGCUAGUUGGUGGGGUAACGGCUCACCAAGGCGACGAUCCCGUAGCUGGUUUGAGAGGACGACCAGCCACACUGGGACUGAGACACGGCCAGACUCCUGGGAGGCAGCAGUGGGGAAUUUUGGACAGUAAAAACCUGAUCCAGCCAUCGCGUGUGCGAUGAGCCUUCGGGUUAUAAAAGCACUUUUGUAGAGGAAAAAAGCAGCACCAGGAUAUGCCGAUACAGCAACCGGUACCUGCAGAAUAAGCACCGGCUAACUACGUACCAGCAGCCGCGAGUAAGCGUAGGGUGCAAGCGUUAAUCAAGGAAUUACUGGGCGUAAAGCGUGCCGGCGGUUCGGAAGAAGAUGUGAAAUCCCGAGCUUAACUUGGAACUGCAUUUUUAACUACACAAAACUAGAGUGAAAACUGUCAGGGAGGUGGAAUUCCGCGUGUAGCAGUGAAAUGCGUAGAUAUGCGGAGGAACACCGAUGGCGAAGGCAGCCUCCUGGGAUAACACUGACGCUCAUGCACGAAGCGUGGGGAGCAAACAGGAUUAGAUACCCUGGUAGUCCACGCCCUAAACGAUGUCAACUAGCUGUUGGGGCCUUCCGGGCCUUGGUAGCGCAGCUAACGCGUGAGAUGACUACGCCUGGGAGUACGGUCGCAAGAUUAAAACUCAAAAUUGACGGGGACCCACACAAGCGGUGGAUGAUGUGGAUUAAUUCGAUGCAGCAUAAAAAAGCCUUACCUACCCUUGACAUGUCUGGAAUCCGAAAAGAGAUUUGGGAGUGCUCGCAAGAGAACCGGAACACAGGUGCUGCAUGGCUGUCGUCAGCUCGUGUCGUGAGAUGUUAGGUUAAGUCCCGCAACGAGCGCAGCCCUUGUCAUUAGUUGCUACGAAAGGGCACUCUAAUGAGACUGCCGGUGACAAACCGGAGGAAGGUGGGGAUGACGUCAAGUCCUCAUGGCCCUUAUGGGUAGGGCUUCACACGUCAUGCAAUGGUCGGGACAGAGGUCGCCAACCCGCGAGGGGGGAGCCAAUCCCGAAACCCGAUCGUAGUCCGGAUCGCAGUCUGCAACUCGACUGCGUGAAGUCGGAAUCGCUAGUAAUGCAGAUCGUAUGUCGCGGUAGAUACGUUUCCAGGUCUUGUACACACCGCCCGUCACACCAUGGGAGUGGGUUUUACCGAAGUAGUUAGCCUAACCGUAAGGAGGGUGAUUACCACGGUAGGAUUCAUGACUGGGGUGAAGUCGUAACAAGGUAA